CAGAGCCGAAAUCCCAGAGCAGUGAAAAACGACCCAGUGUCACGGGGCUUCUGGUUUCAGGACACACUGGAAAGACUGGUCCCUGAGUGCUCCAAGGACCCAUGCAUCUAGUCGCAAAGGUUGCUGGGAGUAUUCUCCAUCUUGGCCUUAAAGGGCUCCCUUUCAGCUUCCCGGAUUCAUAUCUGUUUCUCUGGGAACUGAUUUCCCAUAUUCCCAAAGCCAUAGCCAGCUCCCAGCUUCAUCAUUCAGGAAAAAAAGCAAGUGUCUCCCCUUCAUCCUCCCCAUCUCCCACAAUACAUUAAGUACAAGCCCGAGGACAAGAAUCAAGAGCAAUGAAUCUUUAUCAAACAAUAAAAUCCUGUCUGGUGCCAGACCUACCUGCGCCGUCCAAGCACUACCUGCCCUGUGCCCCCAUUAAACCUCUUACCGUUGUGGCCGGUGGCUCCUGGGGCACUGUGCUUUCCGUGGCUUC
Sapajus apella (tufted capuchin) is the source of this 472-nucleotide long non-coding RNA. RefSeq lists it as uncharacterized. The transcript has 3 exons. The record is from RefSeq and is a predicted model, not a curated record. Lineage: Eukaryota; Metazoa; Chordata; Mammalia; Primates; Cebidae.